Molecule: long non-coding RNA, 1027 nt
Organism: Notolabrus celidotus (New Zealand spotty)
Lineage: Eukaryota; Metazoa; Chordata; Actinopteri; Labriformes; Labridae
Exons: 4
Source: RefSeq, a predicted model, not a curated record
CUAAGCUACUAUUACGACCAGAAUACUUGGACCGCACACCGGUUACCCUCUCUGACGUUGAGAGGGAAGAAAAAGAAACAAAUGCUCCGCAUGGCAAAAGUGCAUCAGCCUUUAUUUCUGUCCUGUAUCACGCCUAAUUGGUGUUCAUGUGAGACAGCCAAUUGUAGACUGGGCCGAGGUUCAACUGUGGGGAGAAAUAUUAGAACAGAGGAAUAAAAUCCCCAGCCUGUAUUCUUUUAACGGACUCAAAGAUCGUCCCGGUUUCAGGUUUGUGUUUGGAGACUGAACAGGUGGUGAAAUGGCUGCAGUUGGUGCCCCAUUUGUUCUGAAGAAAUUAGAGCCGAAGUCCAAGGGCCACUUGAAGCACCUUCUAACAAACACUGGGAGAACCUGUGAAGCACAAUGGGUGUUACAGAGCAGAGGAAGCUGGAGUCAAAGAAGGAAGGAUGCCCUCUUAAAAAGCAGGAAAUGAGACUCCAGGAUGCCAACUGCUCACCACCAAGGAUCAGUUCCAUCCACAUCCAUGGUUCAGAUAAGUGAUCAUGUGACACCAGCAUGCUGUGCGAGCACGCCGGAGCUGAGCAGCACCCCCCUCCCUUCCCAGUCAAACAGAAGGCAGACCUGACAGGCAUUUCAGAAGACUGCAGUUCUGCAAGUCCUAUUUCCAGCAGACCCACCACAGGCAAUCUGGAUCUUCUGCUGGCCAAGUAGUGCUCCUAGUAAAAGCCUAAAGUGGGUUACUUUGUCAGGCGUCCCUGCAGGCCCAGCGGCCACUGAAGGCUGGCACACAGUGUCCUCUUCACCACAAACACUGCAACAGGUAAUGUUUUCCUGAAGCCAUGCCAAAGUUUUAAGAAUUUCCAUGCAUCAAGGAAAAAGACGCAGACCUACACAUGAAAUACAAGCAGUCUUUUCAGCCAAGACCUGCACUAUAGAAGUGAGCAAGCAGUGUAAAGCUCUCCUGUCCUGGAACCACAGAGGCGAGAGGAUUAGAGCUCGCCACAACAUUAAACGCCACUGAACCUUG